RNAcentral lists this long non-coding RNA (31278 nucleotides) under Cricetulus griseus (Chinese hamster). RNAcentral's name for it is "lncRNA (ENSCGRG00015034700.1)". Lineage: Eukaryota; Metazoa; Chordata; Mammalia; Rodentia; Cricetidae. The record is from RNAcentral.
CCUCGGCUCCUGCUCCAGCGGCAUAUGUGAUUCACCAACAAGGAGGGACGCCAAUAAGGCAUCCGAUAAGAUAAGUCUUAUAAAAUAUAUAGCUGUAUGGUAAUUGAGACUGAGCUAACAAAUGAGAAUCCUAGUCAUUGGCCAAACAGCUUUGUAACUAAUACAAGUCUCUCUGUGUAUUCAUUUGGGCCUAACUUGGGCGGGCGGCUGGCGUAAAGCUCACACGUGGCGGUGGGGCUCAGGCGGCUUUUGGCAAAAAGAUUUAUCGUAACACUGAUCCAUGGGCAUGGGAGAUCUCUCCAUUUUCUGAUAUCUUCUCCAUAUUAUUUCUUCAAAGACUUGAAGUUCUCAUCAUAUAGGUAUUUUACUUGCUUAGUUAGAGUUACACCAACAUAUUUUAUAUUAUUUGAGGCUACUGUAAAACGUCUUGAUUCUCUGAUUUCUUUCUCAGCUGGUUAUCAUUUAUGUAUAGGAAGGAUACCGAUUUUUUUUUUUUAGUUAAUCUUGUAUCCAAUCACUGACUAAAGGUGUUUAUCAGGUAUAGUAGUGAUGGAGAAUGUACUGUGUAUGUUCAUUUUAUUGAUUAUUGAAUAAAGUACUUGUUUGGCCAAUGAGACAGCAAGUUAGAUGAGACUAGGAGUCAAAGAGGAUUCUAGGAAAUGUAGUAGAGAAGUGGUGUUCCAGGCAGGAAGUGAUAUAGCAAGGAGACUCAUAUUUAAGAAAGGAGAAACAGGAAGUAUCCCUUUUCCCCUCCGCUCCUACUCCAGUGGUGCAAUGUGAUCCACCAGCAAGGGCGAGGCCAGCAGAAGGCAUCCUCUAUAAGAUAAGUCUUAUAAAAUAUAUAGAUUUAUGAUAAUUAAGACUGAGCUAACAGAUGAAAAAUCCUAGUCAUUGGCCAAGCAGCAUUUAAACCCAAUACAAGUUUCUGUGUAUUAAUUUGGGCCCUAACUCGGGCGGAUGGCUGGCAUAAAGUGCACACAUGGCGGUGGGGCUCAGUGGCUUUUGGUGGAAAGAUUUAUCGUAACAUAGUAGUUCCCUGAUAGAGAUAUUGGGGUUGUUUAUAUAUACUAUCAUAUCCAUAUUAUCUGCAAAUAAUAAUACUUUGAUUUCUUCCUUUCCAAUUUGUAUUCCCUUGAUACUUAAAUUCUACCAGGUAAGUUAAAGUCAUGUGUUCUCAUGAAUAUUUGGAUCCUUGGAUCAAGUCUAUAGCCAUAGCUCUGUGAAUAUUUCUGAUCAUGUAUGGAUUCUAGGGUUGAAUAUUAAGACUUGUGUGUUUAACAUGGAGUAUAUGUAGAAUCCAGGAAACUAGAAAAGGGCCAUUGGAGAGGUAAGAAAGAUCUUAAGAGGAGGGGAUAAUGGAAAACAGGUGAGUUGGGGAUGUUUGAGAUUCUAAGAUACUAGAAUAUCACUGAAGAAAGCUAUCUAUUGGUAAGAAGUAGAAUCCCAAAGCAGGGCUGUGUGUGUUGUAGGCAGCACAACUGGAGAGACAGGUCUACCCAAGCUUUUGAAAUUCAGAUGCUGCCUGACAGAUCUACAGGACUUGGUGUUUACCCUACUGGACUUUGAUCUUGGUUUGGUCUGAUCUCACUAUGUUUUCUUCUCUUGUGAAAUGGGAAUAUUUAUUGUAUGCCACUGUAAUGUUGGACUAUGUAACUCAUAUUUUUAUGUUCAAGGGGGCUCAAAGUUUUAAGAGCCUGCAGAGUUUCAGAAGAUUUAUUCACACUUUUGAACACUGUAGGAAGUUUUAAAAUUAUGGAGAUUGUUGAAGUUGGGUUGAAUAAAUUUGUAUUAUGAGUUGCAUGACAGAGCUAAGACAUAUAAGCUCAGAGGUAGAAAGUUAUGUCUUAAAAGUGACAUGUUUGUCAAUUUGACAAGGAAUGGAGUUGUAAUAGUUAAUUUUGAUUGACAUCACAGGAUCAAGAAUCACCUUGCAAACAAUACAGUUGCCAUAGCUGUGAAGGAUUAUUAUGGAGUCUGUGGGCAUCCCAUUCCAUGGACAUAGGGCACAGACAACAGAAAAAGGAGAAAAUUAGCUGAAUACCAGCCUUCCUGCUUUUUAUUUCCUGAGUGUGAAUACAAUAUGACUAGCUUCAGGUGCUGUGACUUCUCCACAGUUAUGGGCUCUACUCUUGAACUAUGAGCCAGAAUACAGCCCCCCCUCCUUUAGGUUACUUGUCUCAGGCAUUUUGUCACUGCAAAAGGACAAAUAACUUCUUUGUGUCUCUGUCUACUUCUCCCAAACAAUUGUUUAUUGAUGAACCCAUACUCUUUUUUUAAAAAAAGUUUUCAAACUAUAUUUUUCAAAUUGCCUAAAGGAAAAUAUUUCAAUCAGGUUUGACUAGAAGAAAUAUUGGCUUUAGGAAACUCUCAAUAUCUUUUUUUGUCUUUUUAUAAUAUGAGAAGAAAUUGAUGAUCAAUGCUUAGAUCCUUUAUGAUUCUAAAAUGUAAAAAUCUGAUUUUGUUUGCUUCACAGUUAUUAUCUACGUGAUGUUCCCAAGAGAAAUCUCCUUUGGUUGCUACCUAGUUAUUCAGUGGUAUAGUUGAAUAAGGAAGGAAGAAUAGGUAUAUUAUCCUUUAUCCAUUUUAUUAGUUUUCAAAAUUCUAAGUUAGAUGUUAACUAAUAGCUUACAUGCUCACUUUUUUAUAUCAUUGGUCUUAAAAUUUUAACCAUUUAUGGUAUUUUCAACUCAUUCAUUUCUAUUAAUGAUAAGCAUUUCUAUUCGACUUUGUAAAUCUUUUAGAUUGACUGCUGAGAUCUUUGACAAUAAUCUUAGCAGUUCUGGACAAUUUCCUGAAUGUAUAGUAUGGCAAUACAAGCUGGAGCCAUUGCUGCUCCAGGCCUGGAAUCAACUACUUCUUCAAAGUCCCCAGAUUCCUAUUAGUGGGAAAUAUGCUGGUGCUAAGAAUAAGAAGUAUGAAUAGACUGCUCAUUUGUUUAAUUAUUUUGAAUUUGCUUUAAUUAUUAUAUUAUGUCUUGCUAAGGGAUACACUAAAAUUAGUAUUUAAAGUAAUUUUGAACAAUCUCUAUUAUCAAAUAAAUACCAUUAUUUUUCAACAUUUAUUUUCAAUUGUUGCAAUUGCUUUAAAAUCACUUUAUAUUUUGUGAAUUUGGAAACAAGAUAUUCAAAGAAGUUUAUGUUAUUUUGCAUGUCUUUUUAUUCUUUAUUUUUAAAAGAAGCUAUUACUUUCAGUUUCCAGUUUUAUUUUUUUCCACUUUGCAAAAAGAUAGUUAACUAUGCAUCUAAAAUAUUAGAGAUAUGUUUAAGAUAUUGGAUGUGUAAUUAGAUAUUUGUCUCAUAGAUUUCAUUUCUGAGGUGACUGGUGGCAAUCUUUGUACAAGUUUCUUCACCUUGCUUUCUAUUUAUUAAUUUCAUUUAAGCACAUAUCUUGAUUAUAACUACACAUUUGCAUACAGAGAUCCUCUUCAUUUUAUUUGAGAGUUGCAUAGCAUCCUGGGUGUAGCCAUAGAUUAUAUAACUAGCCCUAUCAAAGGAUAUUGGGGUUUUUUCAAAGUAAUAAUCUAACAGUAAUUAACUUUCUACAAAUGAGUUUUUUGUCAGGGUUUCUUUGGGGAAAAUCUUCAAAGAAACUGCUGCCAGAACAUAAUGUAUAAAUAAUUUCUCUAGAUAAUAACAAAUUACCUGCUAUAGACAUUGUGUGUUAUGCAUUCAUAUAGGCAAUAUGUGACAGUCUGUUGCCAUUUAGGCUAUUGUAAAAGUUUCAGAAUCUAAAAGCAUUCAAAUUGAACAAAAAUGAUAUGUUUAUAAAAUAUAGCAUGGUAAAAAUUGAUUUUUUUUCUGAUCAGAAUGGAAAAGUAAACAAUUUUGGAGGUGAUCAGCUUCUCCCUCAUGACCUCAAGAAUUUUGUUUAGCUCACCUAUAGGGAAUUAAAACAUAUGCACAUACAGGUGUGUAUAUAAACAGUGUCAUAAACAUAAUCUUUUUUAAAGACUGCUGGGGAACCUAUAUGGGACCUAACCCUGCCCUGUGCAUGUGGGCAACAGUUUUGUAGCCUGGUCUGUUUGUGAGAUUCCUAGCAGUGGGACCAGGGUCUAUCCCUCGGCAUGAGCUGGCUUUUUGAAGCCCUUUGCAUAUGGUCGAAGCCUUGCUCAGCCUUGAUGGGGGGCGGGGUUGGUCAUGGUUCAACUAAAUAUGCCAGGCUUUGUUGACUCCCCAUGGGAGGCCUUACCCUAUCUGAGGAGUGAAUGGGAAUAGGCUGAGGGGAGAGGAGGGGAAGGGAGAAGAAGGGAGGGAAAGACAGCUGUCUUCUCAGGUGAUAAUUGUAUCUCAAACUUCUAAAACCUGUGAGCUUAUUAUUGGUUUCAUGAGACAGGAUCUUUCUAUGUAGUCCUGGUAGCCACCAACUCUUGAUCCUCCUGUCUUUACCUGCAAACUACUGGUACUACAGUGGCAUACUACCAUAUCCAGCCUGAGCUUAUAUUGCUUAAGCCAAGGCUUCAUAAAGGAAUGUUUGAAUAGGUAAUGAUUUAGUGGAUGUCGUCACUUAAAUAAUCUUCUUAGGAAAGGAAAAGAUGCUCAAAGGCAAACAAACAUCUACAUUAUAUGAAUGUUAUUGCUAUUAAAAUAAUGAGCAUAGUUAUAAAAUAUUAUUCAUAAAGAUAACAAAUAAUUAAAUAAUAAAAUAACCUGGACAGAAACUGUCUGGAUUGUAUUAUUGAAUACUAAGUUGUAUACAGAAGGAAAGAAGCAGAGAGACUUAAAUUUCUAGUCUUGUUGGUAGAUGAUUAGCAGGCCUUUAAAUCUACUAUUUUCUGUAAUAGUGGAAUAAAAACGCAGAGAAAAUGUAAAUGUAAUCAAAUAAUGCAAACUGAAAAACACAAGGUUUAAGCCACUUGAGAUAAAAAUAUUAAAAUCAUAAAUAAGACAUUUUAAAAGAGAAAUUAAACAAGAAAAGUAAAAGAACACCCAAAGUCAAAGAACGAGAGAAGGUUCUCUUGUUACUUGCAUCCAGCACAUCGGAAAGAAACGGGAUUUAUAGGACAAGAUUAAAAGGAACAAAUGACAUUAGGAAUAGUGCAUGGCCGUCAUGUUUUUUGGACUCUUAACUUUGAAAACUUAAUGGUGUUCCAAGACAAUCUUCUCAUGUAUUUAGCCUUUCCAGUGUAGUAACUAGAGCAUGAUUUCUGCUUGAGUCCCCUGUGGCUAAUACAUAAAUAUAAGGCUAAGAAAAUCUGACUAAACUCCUUGGUGCCAGACCAGGGGUCAGGAGUGAGGAAGGACAAAGGGGCUCCAAGAAGAAUGUUUCCUUACCACACUAGACAGAAACAUCAUCUGAGAUCUUGGCUCUGGGAUAAGUCAAUGUAGACUGCAAUCCUUGGUGUAGAAAUGCCAUUAAUAUCAAAUGCCAAUGAAUUCUUAAUCACUGCUGCUCAUAAAAAUGAUUAUCCUUUUUGGUAUUGGUGACACUGUCUAUUCCCUCUUAUCUUUCUUAUGGUUGUGGUUGUGUACAUUAUCUGAAAUCUUAGACCUUUAGUCUUCUCCAUUUCUCUCAAAAGGACUUAAAGGAAACAGAAACUAAGUUUCUAGUCUCAUUGAUGGGAGAUUAGCAGGGUUUUAUGUAGUUGGACUUCUUUGUUGGGACCAUUGGCUACCCAAUAAUGACACAGAGACUUAUUAACUAUGAAAGCUCAGCCAAUAGCUUAGGCUUGGUUUUAGUUAGCUCCUAUAACUUACAUUAUUCCAUUUCUAUUAACCUAUGUGCUUCCUUAAGGCUUGUUUACCUCAUCUAUGUAUUUCUGUCCUGCUUUCCUGCCUUCUCUGUGUCUCCUUAUGGCUCUGCCCUUCUUCUUCCCAGCUUCCUUUGUGCCUGGGAAUCCUGCCUGGUUAUUGGCCAUUUAGCUUUUUAUUAAACCACUCAGAGUGACACUUCUUUACAGUGUAUAAAACAUUAUUCCACAACAGUUUUAAAUAUGCUUCAUAGUAUAAUAGAGAAAUAAAAAACUAAAGCACAGGUAAAAAGCUAAUGUAAUCAAACAAUAUGGAUGGAAGCAACACAGUUUCACCCACUUGUUCUGGCUCUAUCUUUUUCCUAGUGAGAAAUGCUAUCCCUUCCAAGGAUAAACAGUAAGAUGCUGUCUUGGAAGAAAGUGGUAAUUCUCAUCAGGCAAGGAACCUGCUGGCUUUUUCAUUUUGGAUGCUCUAGUUCCCAGAAAUAAGAGAAACUAUGAUUUUGCUCUUUAUAAAUUAUCCAGUAUGGGACAUUCUGCCAUCAUAGCACAAGCUGAGUAGGACAAUUGCUGUUUGUUUAUGGGGAAAUUUCUAUUAAGAUGUUAAAAAGAUAAAAUAAAAUCCUGAAAUGAGGAGCCAGAAACUUCUAGAUUUGAAUUUGGGGGAAUAUUCAUGGGCAUUAGAGACAUUUUAGGAUGCGGAUGGUUUGACAAAUGAGGCAGGUCCAUCAUGUAUAAAAAUCUUAACUGUGAUCCUGGCCAGCAUUAAGAGAUCCAAUUUGACUGUGGCAAGGGAUUUGGUUAGUAUUGUUAUUCUAUAAUUAAUAUUUCCAAUAAUUCUUCUUCAGAGUUUUAGUCAGAGACAAGUAGAUUAUGUAAAUAACAUCUCAGGAGCAAAUUAGUGAGAGGGAAGAUAGGGAGGGGGAGGAAGAAAGAGAAAGAACAAACAGGCAAGUGAUGCUCUGAUGAAACUCACUCAUUAUAAAGGGUGAAGAUGGCAGAAAAGCAGGUAAGCUUCCAAACUGUUCCACUAUAUUAUAGAGAAGUCACUGAUUAGUCAGAUAGGAAGCUCUGUUGGAUAAACUGUUUGAUCCCCAUUCCUAAAUAAAUUUUCUGCAAAACUAUCAUAAACUUGUAACUUCACACAAGCUCCUCUAAGCCUGUGAAGCUCAGCCUGAUCAAAGAACUCAAUACUUAUGACUGUUUUCUAACCACUGACAGCAUCUCCAAUGUUAUGAAUUAUUCAUGAAUAUGCAUAUGGUUAGUACGGCUUUUGUGUCACUCCCCACUGCCACUUAAUUUCUUUAAUUUCAACACUAUGAUGAUUUAGAAAUAGAAUAGAGCUCAUAAAAGCAUGCUAUUAAUUAUUUGAAUUAUGUAAAAGUGAAGAAUAUUAGAAAAAUAAUAGGGCAAAUAUUCAUGAACUUCAUUCAAGUUGAAAGAAGUGAAUGCCUUGCUAAUAAUUUAGAAUACAAAACAGUGCGCACACCCUAAUGCCCUUCCUAUAGUCUUUCAGACAACAUCUUUUAAGUCAGUUCUUACCUUAGGGUUUUGUCUUAUAUCCUGCAGAGAGCACAAAUACGACGUCCUCAUGAAAAUGCACAUACUUCACAAAUACACGCCUGGAGCUUCCAGCUUGUCCCGUCUUCUUCGCUCAAAUGGUUUGUCAUAACUAUAAACAAACAAAACUGUUCCUCUCUUUUCCCUCCAGAGGUUUGGUUCAUUCAUUAUAGCUAGACUAUAGUAUUGCAUUACAUAAAUAAAUAAUAGUUACCUAUAUUCUUCUAACCAAGAAACGUAGUAUUUCUCACUUUCACUAUUGCUAACAGUGCUGCCAUUAAAUGCUUAGGAUUUAUCUCCUUGUAGGAGAAUGGGGCGACCACUGCCCAUCUCAGAAGCAAGUAUUCUCCAAAAGGGAAGUGUUUUGUGGGUGCUAUUGAGCAGUAAGUGGAGGACUCCAGUGGCUGGUGGAGUUCUUUGUCUUUAGGCUAGCCAGAGGUUUUCUUUUAUAAGCACAUCUGUAGGCUGGUACUUUGUCUGUGUAUCUUUGGAAAUCAACCUUGGUCCUACAUCCUGUGUACCUCACACUAAUUUUGAAAAAAAAAUUACAGUGAUAUUUAAAAAAGGAGGCAAUAUUGUAAUCACUUACUUAUUCAAUUUAGAAUGCCAUGUGAAAGACAGCUGUAGAUAAGAUGCAGGAGGAAAGUGGGCUUCAAAACAGGAGAAGUGAUUUUCUCCUGGUAAAGCAUGGCUAUUUUUACAGUGUAUUUUUAUUCUCUCUUUAAUUAUCUUUAAUCUGCUCUGUUAUGCUAUAGCUGCUCAGAAGACAGGGAUCUCUGGCUGAAUGUAAACAUGGCAUUUUGAUCCACAAAGAGGUUAUAAAAUUGAUGUGCAGCCAAUGUUUUCUCACUCAGAAAAGAGAUAUACUAGCGUCCUUUCUCUGUCAAUCAAAAUGGUCCUGCUAGUUACCUAGGCAGGAGAAUGCCCUAUUAAGAAAGCUGUCUACUCUAGGGACUUUAAGAAAUAGCACAAAGGCCAUUCUGCAUGUGAGUUGGAGCAAUGGGUUCUUUGGUUGUUGCCUGCUCUCAGCCUUGAGAGUCUGCAUUACCUUUUAAUACACUCCACCCAUCUUCUACAUCUUAGUCUGUGUGUCUGAAUUCUCUUGACGGAGGAGAGUACAUGAACUUGAGAGCAAAGGGGAGACCAGAGUGAGAUCCCAGAGAUGCUAUGUCAAUUUGGCAAGGUCCUAAGUAGACUGCUCCUGGUGCCCAUUUCAGUAUCCAUCUGAACAUUAAAACACAAAUUUAUGGAGGAUGGUACCCCUGUUGUCCCCUUGACAUCUUCUGUCUCAUUUCACACUCAUAUAAUAUUGAUUUUUAUGUCCUCUUGAUGUUCAUAAUCUAAGGGCCCCUAUUCCACCUUCAAGUUAAGCUAUGUGUGGAAAAUGCUGUUGCAUUAUCCCAUCUUUUAUAAAUAGAAGCCUUUUAAAUGUAAUUUUGUACUUUGCCUUUUAUACUUGUUAUUUAAAAAGAAAAGAAAGACAAGGAGAAAUUUCUCUUUACAAAGCUGCUGUAAACCAGCAAACUAAUAGCUUUAGAGACUCGAGAAGUAUUUUUGCAUACAAAUUAGGAGCCAUUUUAUUGUUUUCAUUUGAUGAAAUAGAUUGUUAGGUUUAUUUUCUGUUUGGUUUGAGUUAAAGGAUAUACGGGAAGAGGAAAAAAAGAUGCAAUGAUUUAAGGAACAGUGCAAGCCAAGAGAAGCACCUCAUAAUCUAGCAUUAUCAAUGCCUCAAAUCAGUGAAGAUCACCUAUUUCUAUAUACAGGAAGAAAAUACUUUUAAAGCAACUUAAACCUCAGUGCUUGAAGCUAUGAGGCAGCAGUAAGCUGCCCAGAGCUAACUUGUUUAUGCCAAGCUCCUUCUGCUAGCAACCUUCAAAAUAGGGAAAGGUCUGCAGUCACCACAGCGUUUGAAACACCAUCCAGCUCCACAAGGCACAAUCCUUUGUCCUUUACUGAAUUCAGAGCCCAGAUGUCUCUUUGAUAUAGGGUGAAAUACCUAGCGAUAUUGGAAAGGGAAAAGUGUGAUUAAGAGUGGAAUCAAGGGUUUUGAUUACAGCAGGCAUUUUAACACCUUUACUGUUGCAGAAUUUCAAGCUGGUGUCUAUGAGGCUAUACUGAAAUUGAUGUGAAAAUUUUACACUGCUUGAUGAAAUUUUCACCAAAUGGCCUUUUCUGUAAAAGUCAGAGAAGUCAUUUUGUGACGCACUAGCAAGCAUCAUUAGUGGGGACGGUGGCGGAGGCCUGAGAGUUUAAUGCAUUCUGGGAAACUACCACUUGGCAAAGUCUCUUUGUGGUUGUUUUAUAGUGUGGAGCUUCACUCUGCAAUAAAAAUAAAACCAAAUUCAUUUGGGCUAGGUCUUUUUGUUGCUUUAUUUAAUUUUCACUUUGGCGUUUGGCCCUUAAAGCUUUAACAGGGCAGAUGUGGCUUUGGAAGGGCUUACUAAUUCAACUGGGUUAAUGGCUUCCACGACAGAGGCCAGCUCAGCAGUUUAGCCUCAUUCUGUCUUUGGUUCUCCUUCCUCUUUGAUUUUCCCUCUGGUGGAAAACUUUCCACGGGGCAACCUAUUAUCAGUAGAUGUUUAUUUGACUUUUGAGGUAACUGCCUUAAACUUUCUGGUCUGCAGAGGCACAGACAGAACCGAUGCCGCUAAACCAGCUCUUAAAGCCCUGGGAAAGAGAAGAAGGGUGUUUGCCAUUGCAAGUCCUUUCAUGGUCUGCAGAACCAUGCCCACAGCUUGAUGUGCAACACAGAUUCAGCAGUGUUUGGAAAACCCCAAAUGAGUUAGAAUUUGUGGUGUUCCCGGGUCAGUGCAGGUUUGUGGAAAGAAGAGUGGAAUUGGUAUUGGAAAGUUGAUUCUUUAAUUCCCAGGACUGAAGAACGCUCUAAAACUCCCUGAGUCUAAUUCCUAACAGUGUUUAACAGUUAUAUUUAUGAUGUUAUGGGAGGAUUUCAUUUUAGAAACUAUAGUUAUACACAUAAAAACUAAGAGAUUAAGGAAAAUGUGUGCUCCCCCCCUCUCUCUCUCCCUCCCACCCUCUCUCUCUCUCUCUUUCUCUCUCUCUCUCUCUCUCUCUGUGUGUGUGUGUGUGUGUGUGUGUGUGUGUGUGUGUGUGUGUGUGUGUGCACCCUGGUGCAUGGGCAGAGGUCAGCCUGUUUUCAUUGUUUGAGAUAGAGUCUCUCUCAGUCUCUGUCUCUGUCUCUGUCUCUGUCUGUGUCUCUGUCUCUCUCUCUCUGUCUCUCUCUGUCUAUCUCUGUCUCUCUCUCUCUCUCUCUCUCUCUCUCUUUUAGUAUAUACCACUGCAUAGAUGUAUCUGGGUGGCCCGCUUCCAGGGAUUCACCUGUCUUCUCCUUCCAUCUUAAUGUAGGUGUGCCAGGACCACAGAUGUGCACCACUAUGACUAGAUUUUACAUGGGUUCUGGGGUUUUGAACUCAGGCCUAUACUUACACUUUUGUGGCAAGUGCUCAACUCUUUGAGCCCAACUCAUGAGGGAUUCUAAUUAUAUUAUUUUCAUCAUUGAUUAAGCAUGUUUUAGCCAUCGAUUUCCCAUUUCUUCAAAUGCACACUACUUUAGCUUUAUCCAAUGCAAUAUCUAUAAAACCUCAAUGCAUCAGUCAUGUUUUUAUUACGCAUUAAAAUAAAUGUAGGACUAUCCCUCAAACAUUGUGAACAAUGAUAUUAUACUCAGGGAGGCUGACCACAGUAGCUUUAGUUGUGUUCAUCUAUAAUUCCCAUCUGCUACAACAGGAACGUUUAUCCAAUUAGCUUUCUGAUGUUCUUGUUACAUAGUGAAAUGUUUGGCACAUGGAAAAGGAGAUCCAAAUCAUCAGAAAAUUGCCCUGAAUGCAUUUCUUGUUUACUUGGGAAAAGUAUCAAGUGGAGAAAAUACUCCUUCCUCUUGAGGAGUGCCUGCAUCAAAGCUCUGCAUCCCACACAGCAGGGCUUCCUUCCCUAGCAGUCAACCAGACUUCCCGAGAGCUUUCCCAGAUUACUGCAGAAACAUCUAGGGUCAACCAUUUUCUGCAUGAUUCCCCAGUACUCUCUAUUAGAACCAAUCUUCAUAUUUGCCAAGAAUUCCUUACUCCCUUCCUUUUGCUCUCUACAUCACAUGCAGACACACACACAAGCGCGCGCGCACGCGCGCGCGCACACACACACACACACACACACACACACACACACACACACACCACAUACCACCAUACACACACACAUACACAUAAAACAGACACAGCACACAACACACACACACACACACACACACACACACCACAUACCACCAUACACACACACAUACACAUAAAACAGACACAGCACACAACACACACACACACACACACACACACACACACACACACACACACGGAUUAUUUACCUCUUCCUGAAAACUUCAUCGUUAUUUAAUAUUGUUCAAGUCCUGAGAUGGUUGAAAACAGCAUGGCCCUGUGCUGUCUCAGAAUCCUAGAUUUGGAUGUAAGUUCCUCAGGAUACAUGCUAUAAAAUUGUGAAUAUCCUCAAACUUUCUGUGGUAACCCAGGACACAGAUACUAUAGGCACAUGAAUUCUCAUAUCAGUUAAACAACAACAACAGAACCUCUCUGAGUUCAGAACACAUCUGUACACAGUGACUAGCUCACAGUAUACACAGUCAAUGAUGCCUGGCACCAUGGCGAAUGGGCAAACAAAGACUCAAAGCCAGUGAAAGAAUAAACAGCUGGAAAAAAUUCCAAAGAUGUUGUUUUCUGUUUAAUAGAGUGAAAAGCCAGUAAAGAACAUAAAAUAAUAACUACAAUUACAUUGACUGAAACCUAUAGGGAAGGAGUUAUUCUAGAGUAUCAAAUUUCCUGGACAGGAGAAACUUUGAAGCAUCUAUUUACUUUUGUGCAAAUUCUUCCUAAAAUGGUAUUUUACUUUUGCAGUUUGUUACAUUGAGCAGAUUGUGAGUAAUUUAACCUUGUCUUAAAUACUUAAUAAUAAAAACAGCAUCUUACAAAAUAAUUAAAAUGAUAUGGAGAUCUAGACAUUUCAGGAGCUUCCUUUGAGUAAUUUUCGACCAUGCUGUGAAAGUCAUGUUUGUAACUGAGAGGGGUCCAUACAGGAAGGAGCCUUGGCAACAUUCUCUGUUUCCAUCAUUUUACAAUGUUUCUCUUGCAUGGUGAUUGUUCCAGAGACACAUUGUUGGAAAAGUAAUGUCACUUGUUAAGGAACCACACAGUUAUUCUGGUAUUUACAUGCUAGCUUUAAUACUUGACUCGUCCACUUGGCAUGUGUUUGCAGAAGAAUAUAUACCAAUUGUGCUCAGAUUUGAAAUAUUUCCACAUUCUUCUAAGGGACUGCAUCAGUCACAGAUGUAGGACUUAAGUAGUAAAUGUUUGUUGACCACAGUGAUGGCAGGCAUCCCACACUCUUAACUUUUACAUCAGUUCACUUGUCCAGUCACUAUUGUAACUGUGCGAAGGGCUAAGCCUCACUUCAAUGUUUUAUAUAUGAAAAAUGAGGCAAACUAGUUUGGCAACACUGAUGAUAGAAGAGGUGUGUGGCCUUCGCUUGCUCUUUGAAUAGUUUAAUUUUUGUUUUUAAUUAUAUGUAUGUGGUACAGAUGGUAGAGGCCAGAAAUAUCCAGGCAGGCAAGAGGAGUUGGAUUACCCCUGGGGCUGGGGGUGGUUGUGAACUGCCCAGUGUGGGUGCUGGGAAUCAAACUCAGUUCCUGUGGAAGAGCAGUCCACACUGUUAACCAUGGAGUCACCUCUGCAGCCCCGUCUUCCUCUUUCAUGGCACCCUUUUGUCUUCUCUGUACAGAUAUGAUCAUCUUUGGCUCUGCUGUCUGUUGUACAUUCUUGGUGACAAGUCUUACUUUACACUGGACACCUAUUCUCUUAGUUAUUGAUUUUAAUGUAUCCUUUGAAGACAGGAGUGUAAGAAUGAAAACUAAGAAGUUGGUAUGAGACUGGUAGAUAAGGCUUUCUGAUUUCAAAUUUCAGCAUGGCAGAAAGUAAUUAGCAUUCCCCUCUUGGGGACUUUUCUCCUUUGGCAAGCCCCACACUCAUGGCAAAGUUACCAUGAGUUUCCUCUCUUUCUUCCCCACUCCCAAGUCCCCGCUACAUUCAGGGCAGCCAGGGAAAUCAGUUCUAUUUACCUUAUUAGAUAGAGCCACUCACCUCUCUCUUUUCAUCUACUUUUACUUUGAAUUACUUGCAUAUCUAAAGAGAAUUUCCAGGCAUCCUCCUAAAAAAUGAGCUGUCUCUUCUAGACCAUGGAAAGGCAACUACUGCUAAUUUUUGUUUCUUUGUUUUCAAUACUGAUGCAUUUUCUUCUUACAGCAUCUAUUAAUGGUAAACUAAAAAAAUCUUGAAACAUAUUGUAAUAUGAAUUCUGGCACUGACACAUAAUAUUGGAGAUUGUUGUGUUUGUAGGAAAACAUUCACUUACUAUUAAUGAUCAAAGCAGAUUACAGAUUACACACAAGACUGCCUGCAGUUUGAUCCUCUCUUCCUCUCCACUCUUCUGCCCCACCCCCUUCUACUUUCUCACUUCUCCAACAGAAGAAUUCAGGAAGACUCUUGUAGAAAUUGUCUAUUAGUUAUUCCAUAACUAAGUAAUCCCUGUCAGGACCUAUUGUAACAUGCAUGGUCAUUUACUUUUGUUCAAAUACUCUUAGCCACUGAUAGGCUCUAGCCUUUGUUAAUGGCUAAUAAUGACUAAGGGCUUACUGUGUGCCAAACAUGGUACUGUGCGAGACACAGGUAUUAAAUUAUUUAAACUCAUUAAGAAUAACCCAAUGAGACAUGUACCCAAUGAGGCCCAACACUACUUACCCUACUUCUUUUAUAGUUGAAUAUACUGAAGCACAGAGAAACAUUUUGUUCAAUUCAUAGAAAGGUAGACUUGUAUCCACAGUCUUAUCAUUUGUGUCCCCUUCUUUCUGACAUUUCUUCCUACUUUGGUUGGCUGUGCUUCAACAGUCCUUUAGUGUCUUUAAUGUGUGCUCAUGUUUUUAUUUACAUAGAAUGGGGAUACUUAGAACUAAUAUAAUUUUACUUAUGAAAUCAAUAUCAUAAAUGUUAUGUACAAUGUUAAAUACCUUCUGAUCAAAGGCAUGUUUAUAAUAACUCUUUUGGUCUUCAUGUAUAGAAAGGAAAUAUCUUUUCGUCUCAGUUAAAGCCCUCAUGGUUUCACACAGGUAGGUGGCUCUUUUCAGUUGCUGAAUAGCAGGAAAUCUGAAUAUCAUGUAUUUGCUAAAGUGGCUAUGAUCUUCAUGCUGUUAACUAGUCAACCAUUCACUUGUCUUCAGAAGAACUCAGAGACAAGAGGUUCUAUUGUAUAUCUGGUGCCUCCAAUGAUAAAGACAGGGAGUCCCCAGGCCUAUAAACAAUAUAUUUUAGUUGGAAUGCUCUUUUUAUUUACAUAGGAAGAGUUUAUAAGUAAAGGUGGGGAUCCUGGGCAGCUUAGUGAUAGUCACAACAGAUUUCACGGUAGCAGACCACUUUAUUUCCAGAUAAUUCAGACAGGUCCUGGACAGGCUUCUAGGAAGUUGCUGCCUCCAGUCAUUUGCUUCCUGGAGGGAGCAGGGGGUGGACCAGCUGGCAGGAGAACAGUGGGGCUGGUAGAAUAUUGUUGUGGGGUUGUUUUCAUCCUUUUCCAAUCUUUGCAUGGCUGGAUAGGAGUUUCUCUCUUGCUGAGUGCAGGCCAUAAGUGUAUUACAACAUCAGUUCCCCAUAAGGGCUGGACUAUUUAUAUCUACUUCCACACACUUUAGUAAUCAAUUUCCCUCAAGUUUCCUUCUUAAUAUUUUUCUUUUAACCUCAAAAGAAAAGAUCAAAGGUAGCUGCCCAAUGUGACAAUGCUCUAAAGAGGGGAAAAUGACACCGAGUUCCAGCUGAUAAGACUAGAAGUGUUGUUUCUCUGUGGUUUCCAAAGCAAAAUAAAUGGUAAGGAUUCAACACAGAGCUCCUGGACAAAGAGCUCACUUGCCUGUAAGUUGGUUUCCCCUGCACACUGAGAUGUGCAGAUGGCUCGGGAGCAAAUGCUUUUGUGUGGAAUUCAAUAUCUGAUCUUUCUGGUGGCUUAAUGUGUAUUUCUGCUCUUCUCACUUCCCUCUGUUCCCUCACCUCUUGACACAAACAAUUAGAGCUGUUCUGUUAGUGCACGUGUAACACAUCAAUGCAAGAACAUCAUAGAAAGCUCUCGGGCAUUUCUGGGGCAUUCUCUACACAACAUCUGCCUACACUAUGGCAGGAGCCCGUCCUUUAGGUGUCAGAGUGGCUCUUCUCAGGCCCUUUGACAGCUCUUCUUUUGUUAUUACAGUAUGUCAACCUGGAUUUGCUCUGUCACACAAAUGCGCCAUCAGUAGCUUGGUGUUUUGACAGUUUUAGUUGUUUCUCCUUGUAGCAUAUUGUCACACACACUGGAAAGAAGAAAUAUAGUUUGCUAAAUAUAAAUCCCCCUGGAUAAGGGGAGAACUAGCUCCUGGGCAAAAAGCUAUCAAGUAUUUUUGUGUUGUUUUGUUUCUUGUUGAGUCAUGUUGUUUGGUUUCAUAGAUGAUGAUACUGUUUUAAUAUGUAGUCAAAUAGCAGGCACAUAAAUAUUUCUGGCGUAUCAAAUGCAAGUCCUUUCAUUUUGUAUAGUUACUGAGAAAAACAAGGAUAUGCCAGAGUUACUGAGGGAAUGUAGCAGGGAACAUCCAUGAUGGAAUUGCAGGUUCUUUGUAUCUUGACAACGAGCAGAGCAGGAAACAGAGGGACAGCUGUGAAAGCACAGAUUCAUUAAAUGUAAGAGUUCGGGGCACACAGAGGAAAGGGGAAGUGGAAAAUGUAAGUGUUGUGGAAUAUUAGUGUAAGAUGUGUCUGGGAGUUUUACCGUUCUUUAUUCUAUAUAUCUUUCUUUCCUUCUUACUCUGUGGCUAGUCUUGGGCCUGGAUGGCUUGCUCCUGGCAUCUCCCUCUCCUUUUCUUUUCUCACUCCUACCCUUUUCUGGAUUUCUCCUUCUAUUUACCUUACAGAGUUAAACCAAUGCAACAGAAAAGAAUGCAACACGUCAUUGCAUCAUUAAACAAAUGUUCCACAGCAUAAAUGAUUAUAACACAUCUUAAACUAAUAUUCUACAACAUGUAAUUAUAUUAUAAUCUUAAAAAAUAGUAAAAAAGAAUGAGACUGGGGCAAACAAUUCAUUCCACGGAUUAGAACUGACUGGGUUGGGGCAAGCAUGCAGCUCUAGAUCCCUAGUUCACAAAUCCUGGUUUUUCUUCACAGCAUGGAGAGUGGGCCUUGUCAAAGCAGUAGACUUCUCUUGGAUGACCAGUUUCUUUGAUGGUUAGAUGGGGUUGUAUAAUCUUCUCUCCUCCUCCCUCCCUCCUUCCCUCCCUUCCUCCCUCCCUCAUUCUCUCUCUCUCUCUCUCUCUCUCUCUCUCUCUCUCUCUCUCUCUCUCUCUCUGUAUGUGUGUGUGUAUGUGUGUAGGUGUGUGUUUGAUGCAUGUUAGAGUUUAGGAAACCUCAGGUGUUGUUCUCACCUACUUUGCUUUGAGACAAUGUAUCUCCUUGUUCCUUACUGUUUAUGUAAAUGAGACUAAUUGGCCAGUGAGCUUGCAGGCAUUCUGCUGUCUCCACUUCCCAUCUCAUCAUAGGAGUGCGAUUAUUACAGAUGCAUUCUACUGUGUUCAGCUUGACGUGAGUUCUGGGCAUCUCAACUCAGCUCUUCACAUUUGCUUGGCAAGUGGUUUUAUUCACUGAGACAUCGCCACAGCUCAGUCUGUACAAUCCUUGGGAUAGCCUUGACAGUUCUACUUUCCUUGUUACUGGGUCCAGAGCUAACUUUCUUAUGGCUCACAUUUCUGUAUGCCUGGCCCUAUCUUACUAUAUCAGCAAUACCAACCUCACAGCAAUUGGAAUUACAUAGGUUUUGCUUUAUCAAAAGGACUCUGUGUGUGGCUAUGUAUGCUCCCCUAGAGUCUGUGACUUGGAAAAGGUUGACUGGAUGCCAGCAUAGACAUUCCUCUACAUACUCAAGUAAUAAGCUCCCUUGGAGAUAUCUGGGCUCCAGCACUGACUUAAAGGGAUACAAUGAACUGUUUAAAAAUAAAUAGGUCUCUGCUGUCCAGCUCAGUUGGUGGAGAGUGUAACUCUUCAAUGUCCUUUGACUCUAUUCUAAUUCCCAAUAGGAACAAUAGAUUACAGUGUGUAAGCUCACAGUACAUUUUCUCCAUUUCAAUCCUCAUAAAUUCCUAUUUUAUAUCUUCUGUUUAGAUUACUUUUUUUAUUUGAUCAGACAUUUGAACAGACAAGCUAUGGUGUUUUGAAUUAAAAAUAUCUCCUUUAAGCUCAUGCAUUUGAAUACUUGGUCUCCAGCUGGUGGUGCUGUUUGGGAAGGUCAUGGUAGAUAUUUAGGAGAUGGAACUUUCUGGGGAGCAGCAUCCACCCAUUUUCUCUAAUGGUCCCUUGGGUUUGGAAUGUCUUAUGAUCUCUUGGGUAUUUUCAACAUCCCUAUCCUUCAAUGACCAAUUUAGAUGUCAUUCUCACAUUUGCUCUAUUCAAUAGACAACUACCUGUCCUCUCUCUUAAUCCACAGAGCUCUUGUGACCCUAGUGUUUCCCUUAUUUUUCCUUGUAUUCCAGCUAGUUGACUGUCUCUUGCAAUGAUUAAAUUCUUCAAGUACAGGGCACAUUUCUUCUAUUCUCCUAUUUGCACAUGGUAGGUGUUCAGUAACUGAAUGCAUGAAUAAAAGACCUUUAGAAAGACCUCAGCACUGUGAGCUCCUGAGAUCCUUCAUGGGCACCAGGCAUGGCUACCUUACGGUGAGGAGCCUGACAGCCUUGAGUCUGAAUAAGUCAUCUUCUAGUGACUCAGCGUUUCUGGGUGAUAAAUCAUCUGAAGGAGCUGAGCCUGAAAACAAAUUUUCUCUCUAAUGAUUGGUGUUGUUCUUAGGCUUUAAGAAUUUAUUCAAGAGGAAUUUGAGUAUCCCCAUUAUAAACUGCAUACAUAUUAUAAAUGUAAAAACAAGAGCAUUAACAUAGAAAUGAAUCAAUAAAACCAAAAUAAUAAAGUGAGAAAAGAAAGCCAGAAAGAUGACCUUACUUGCCUCACUGGGUGUGAGCCUAGCCUUUAACAGCUGUGUCAUCUCUCCAACCCAUGAUUAGCUUACUUGAAGCAAGCCCCUACAUUCAUCGUAAAGGGCACAUUGAAAACCUUUGUGUCCUGUGUCUCUGAUAUAAUUAAACUAGAGGUUAUUAAAGCAAUUCAUGGGGGAAGAGAUGUAUUCAUUAGCACAUCACAUAAACACUAAUAGGACCAGCUACAUUUUUAUAGGACCUGUACAGAAACAAAUAUUGAGAUCUCUACUAAGUAUUUCCAGUGUAGCUAUUUUGAGCAGCUGUGUAAGAACAUAGGGUUUCUUCCAUGUGUCUGCUUGGUCUAGAGUUGAUAGCAUUGCAUUUUGGUGGAAAGGAAUCCAUCAUUUAGCAAAAGUCUGUGACUCAUGGGAGCUCAACAAUCUGUGGAUGGUCACCUCUAGCUGGGUGCAUUUCACCUUUGUUUCUGUGUAAAUACUGCACGAGGAAAGGAGCAGGUUACAGAGAAAAGCUAUGACUUGCAAGCAGCUGAUUGCUCACAGAAACCAGAUUUCCUUACCUCUGUUUAGUCCUAAUGAGUUUAAUUAAAAGGCAGGAGGAAGUGGAGGGUAUUUAUGAGGGGCAAGUGGAUUUUGGCAAACUGAAGGGCAGAUAGUGGGCCCAGAAUAGAAGGUCAGACUCAGAGAUGUCUUUUCUCUCUCGCUUGAGUAUGUCAAAGUAUCAUCUCUUUACUUACCACCUCUGUCUUCCUUUUCACCCAGGAGCCAUGUAUUUCACCAGAGGCAUGGGUACACUUAUUCCAUUUAGAUGUUCUCAGAUGUCCAGCAACCUCUCUGGGGUCUUUAGGAACAUUAGUUCUGGCCUCACUCCAGAGAGAGUCAGGUUAGUCCACCUUGUGUCAGCAUCUACCCUGAUAGAGUCAAUACUGGGAAGGGUAUGGGUUAUAGCAGUUUAGUGCUGAACAGGGUUUUAAAGGUCAAAUGGCCAAUUUGAAGAAAAUAGACAUAUAUUUUUGGUAAGUGGAUACUAUGUAGAAGCUGGAACAUAAUGGGAACAUUCAACAAUCAGCUCCUAGUUCUUGUUCUGCUUUUGAAGGGCAUAUUGCACACUUCCAUUAGGUUAUGUUUGAUCAUAUGUACCCAGAAGGAAUGAAGCUCACUAAGUCUUAUAAUAGGUAAGAGUGUUCAGAAAUCUAUGAAGAUGGCAAAAAUGCAAGUAAUCACCCCUAUAGUAAUUUCUGUGAACUGUCAUCUUGACAAUGGUAGUGUCUGGGAAUAACAAUUAGUGGUCUAUUAUUAGUUGCCACUGUUUGUGGUGGACUUGAGACUGUAUUCAUCCUCCAGCUAUGACACUAUUCAGGUACCCAUCUUUUUUUAAAUUAAUAUAUCUAGUAGAAGACACAGAUAAAACCAACUCUCUUUCAGUUAUCUAACAGGAGGACAGUUGUAAAAGUAGCAACUAAUAGCAGCCAUUUCUUUUUACCACAUGUCUCUAUAAGGCUGGUCAGCAGGAAGACUCCUGCCUUCUUUUGUUAUACUGGCUCCCUCCUUUUUAUCUAUCCACACGGUGGGGGAAGCUCAUAGGGGUGGGAACACUUGUUCAGCCUUUUCAAUAUUCUUGCAGGAUAAUGUAGAGUGCUAGACUCUGCUGUCAUAGCACCCUGACUCCCAAUCAGAACAGAGGUAAACUCUCUCUCUCUCUCUCUCUCUCUCUCUCUCUCUCUCUCUCUUAUGCUUGGGCUCUAAAAAAGGGUCCAAACUUGCUGGACAUGUGUCUUCCUCUACUGAGCUACCUCCUUAGUUCCUUUCUACUUAGGAAAUAUAAACCUUUAAGGGCCAUGUUUAAUAUGAGCUGUCAGACCUUCCUAUGGGAAGCACUUUGAGAUUUCACUCUACAAUUUUCUUCUUUUCUGUGGUUUUUUAAGUGAUUUAAAAAAUUAAUAUGCUAUAACUUUAUUACACUUUGGUUCUUAUGACAGGAAUAUCAAUGUAAUAGUGGUGGUACAUGUUCUAACAGUUGUACAAAGCGAAGCUUACCACCAUGUACUCUGAGUCAUUAAUGAAAGGCUUGGUACCAAGUGAGCUUCAGUGGAGCUGGAAGGAAAGGUGCCAGGCAUAAAACAGCUGCCUCAAAGCAAACUGGGUAUUAUGUCCAUCUGAGAACCUAAUAGAUAUGUAUUUUCCUUUUUUAUUUCUAUUGCCAUGGGAAAUAAAAUGCCUUUUGCUGUUUUAUUUCCUCCUUAAUUCCAUAUCUUCCAAGCAACUGCGUGACAGGAACCUUUUCAUACUUUUCUCUCAAAUUCCCUUAGCUGAAAACAUUGCAGGUGUUCAAUAAAUGCUCAUGCUUUGCUUGAUCUGAACAAAUAAAUACUGAUACUUGUAAGAAAUGGCCCUGGGUUUUUAAUCAUGCUUACUGAUGCUCAGUGUCAUGCAGACUUCAUAGGAUGCAGUUUCUUUCUUCCUUGUUCCCUUUCCCUUGUAAGUGCUUUGAGUAGCACAGGUGGCCAGUGUGGGCUAGCAGUCAGAAAUCCACCGGGUUGAGAGGGCAGUCAGGCUAAACCAAAACCUGUACAGGGUCAGGGAGAAGCAAAGACUAAGAGCAUUUAUUGAACACCUGCAAUGUUUGUGUAGGAUGCCAGAGUCUGAACUGGAUGAGGAGGCUGUCCUUGUGUAUGUUGGAGAUGGAUAAGUGAAGAUAGUGAAGCAGUAUUGAGGCAGAUUCCCAGCUAACUCUUGGGCACUUGGAUGUGAAAUGGGCAAUGACACAGAUUGGAUAUUGGCUAGAGCUAGAGGAGUUGAUGAUGUAAAUAAACACAAUAAAGAAAUAGGAGUCAGUUUCUUACUAUAAGUCAUGGACUGUAAGGAUAGCAAGAAAGCUACACAACUGUUGCAAACACACAGUUGUAGCUUGGUUCUCUCAUGUGACUCCUAAGAAUCAGAUCAGGAACUGUCUCUGACUCUUUUACCGGGUUUUGGGACCUGCUUCUCAUACUGGGUCACCUUGCCUGGUCUUAAUAUAUGGGGUGCUUAGUCUUACUGGAACUUGAUAUGCCAUGUUUUGUUGAUACUCAUGGGAGACCUGCCAUUUCCUAAACAGAAAUGGAAGAGGAGUGUAUUGGGGGUGGGAGUAGGGGGUAAUCUUUACAAAAUAAAAAAGAGAAGAGCAAGCAAGAAAAAAAGUUGAACUCUAUAGACUGCACUAAGUGGUACUGAUGCAAAUAAAUGCUACAGAUUGAUAGAAAGUUGUGUGCAUAAAUACAGUGUUUAUGUAUAAAUGCCCUCAUCUGUCUCUAAAAUGUGAGAAAUAUUGUUUGUAGAACCCAGACAGCCUCUAAAAAAUUAGAUCAUGUCUAAUAAGCAUCUUAAAAUUGUAAAGAGAAUUCAGAUCUUAGAGUGAUUCUAUCCAAACCCUUCCCCAAAUCAAGGUAAAUCUGUACAUCAAAAUACUAAUUUUAAUAGAUAGCCCACUGAUGAAAUAGGAAGCUAUGCAUGCAUGAUGAUGUAAUUAUAUAAAUUAAGAAAAUACAAUGCAUAAUACUUAAAUACUUGAAGAUUCUUUUUCAUAAAAAUAGCUACCAAGACAAUUUUAGAAAAAUUCAGCAAACCCAAAUUUAAUCAUAUAAACAGCAUGAAUAUCAUCAGUGGGACAAAUUUAAAAUGUCCUAUUUGCUAAGUCAGGUAAAUUCAAACUGACUAUAAAAUAUUCUAUACAAUAGCUGUCAUGUAAUGGUCAAAGUGUUAAGAUUCUUAAAGUUGAGAAAAAGUGACUUGCAUCCUAAGGAACCUAGGUCCAUGGAUGUAGCAAGUGGAUAAGGAUGUGGCUAUGACUGCUGAAAAAACCUGGGUGGUCUCUAGAGGGUAGAUGAGUUCAGAUUAGUGUUUCCUUCCUGAUGCCGAUGCUUACAGUGUGGUUAUAGAAAAGUAUGUUCUUGUCAAUUUGUACAUAAUCAUGAUCUGUCAUUGACAAGACCUGAUGCCAAAAAGUUCUCCAAUGGCCCAGGCAAAGAAUGUUGUAACUGACUUUCCAAGGUUUCUGUAAGUUUGUGGUUGUCUCCAAAAAAAACAAACCCCAGAAAACAAACAAAACAAAGCAAAACCCCUAAAAACUCCUGACUUCACUGUAGGAAAACAUCAACUUCUCAUAAAAGUCAGAAGUUAUUCUCACUGCAAGUGCUGUCAUUAUAACUUUUUAAAAAGAGGUACUCUCUUGUACAAUCUUAAAAGAACAAAUUAAAAUGGCAGGAAUGUCCUUUGAGUUAAUCAACUGUCACUGUGCCUUUUGACAUUUCUUUGGAAGCACAACUUUGUGCUUGUGCACUAUUUUAUUUAUUUAUUUAUUUAUUUAUUUAUUUAUUUAUUUAUUUAUUUAUGAUUUGAGACAAUCUUGCUAUGUAGCAAAAUCAGUCCUGGAACCUACCUUCAGUGAUCUCCUGCCUGUAACUUCCCACAUCUGAAGAGUGUAAGCAAGCACAUGUGAGUGGAACUUUGAGACCAAGGGAAGGAUGCGAAUGUAGUCCUCUACUUUCACAAAUUAUGCAGUUGAGUUUCCUGCAUUUUGGGACAUUUCAGGGGUCAGCACGUCCAGGAGUGCAAUAGAUGAGCCAUAGCCUGAGAAAACCACCUUCAUGGUCAUGAUUAUUUCCCCUUCCAGUUGAUACACCUAGAGUCACCUGAGAAGAUGAAGCCUCAACCAGGGAACUUCCCAGAGAUUGUCUUUGUUAGUGGCUGAUGUCAGAGGCCUCAGCCCACGAUGGACAGCACCAUCUUUUGGCAGCAGGUGAGUCUCUUCCUUCAAUCCCAGUGAUAGCUGAAACUCAGGAGUCAUCAGUUGCUAAGAAGAGGCCAUGAGCCCAACUCCCCAUGGUGCUCAGAGACUUGGAAUUAGGUAUGAGGUAGCUGAAGACCAAACACCAUCUUCAAAUGCUUAGGAGAGGAAUCAAAAGUACUAUUGCUUGCUACUAAUGCCAAGUCUCCAUUUGUGCUAGCAGGAUGGCAGGCCUGAGGAGAUGGUGGCCAUUGUUUUGUGUUCUCUAAAGUAAUUGACUGUUUACUUGUUGAAGUUUUAUCUGUUAUUACAUAAGCAUGUUCGUGUAUGUUUGAAUGUUGGUAAGUAAACAAUCAUUUAUUUGUUAUCGAACACUUUCAUCCUAGUUUGGGGGAAAUUUGGCUCUAUCUUUACCAUGUACAACUGAGUAUUAUUUAUAUUUUCCAGAGAAAAUCGAUGCACACAAAUAUCUAAUACAACUUGACUUUGUGUUAGUUCUUUAUUCUGAAGGGACCAGCUCCCCAUUUUGGCAGCCAUAACAGCUGGACACAUGCUUGUCUGACCUUGUCCUAGUCACUAGAAAGUCAGAUCCCUGCCUUGUGGCAAGGAACCAAUCAGAAGUUAGCUGGUGGCACUAUGCUUUACAGUUCUGGGUGUGUUUUAUGGACAAGUGCACAGCAGUGACACGCAGAGCAUAGCAACCACCCUGGGAGGGCCUAUGGGCCAUAACAACCAAUUGGCCAAUCAACACAGGGCAAGCCCUCCAAGCCUGGAGGCACACCAAUCGUGAGCCUGUGCGUACCCCUAGACACUCCCCUUACGCUGCCCUAUAAGAUCUCUAUGCAGACACUUUGAGCUGUCUUUGCUAGCCAUCAGCCAUGGGUGGAUGAAAGAUCUGAGCUAACAUGGGGUUAGCCUGUUAAACAACAAUAAAAACUCAUGCAGUUUGCAGCAAGCUUUUGAAUCCGCCUGGUGAUUGGGGUGACCACGGUACUGGGCUAAGACCCCAGAGGCCUGAGUUUUCCAGGGGUCUAACAAUUCAAUUAAAAGUAACACUUUUUCUAAUGUUUCCUGUGCUGCCAGACCAAGAAGACAUGGUAAGAAAUAUACUUCUGCAGGUUUUCGCAUUUAAAGUUGUAAAGAUUGAAGGUUAAAAAAUUAGUAUGUAUUUGAAAAGUGUAGAUCCGAGAAUAUCGACACUUCCAUAUCUAAAAUGUGACAAGUCUUCUUUCUGAUCGUAUAUGUCAUUGUGUUUGUUUUUCUAUGAGUGUGUCCCGCCCCUGCUUCUAUCACUAAUUUUCGCAGUCAUUUUUCUAUUGCUGUGAAGAGACACCAUGAAUGACCAAGACAACUCUUCUCCCCUCUGCCCCCCACCUAGCUUAGGAGAUUUUGUUCCUUUCCCCUUCUCCAGGGUCCAAGACAACUCUUAAGAAAACAUUUAAUUGCUUAUAGUUUCAUAGAUUAGUUUAUUAUCAUCAUGGCAUGAGCAUGGUGGUAAUCAUUGAUCUGAGUUAGGAGCUGAGAGCCUCUCUCUGAGGCAGCAGAGAGAGAGAGACACACAGAGAUGGGGAGAAAGAGAAUACCUAAACUUUUGAAAUUUCAAAGCCCACCCCCAGUGUUGCACUUCCUCCAACAGGGCCACAGCUACUCCAAUAUAUCCACACUUCCUAAUCCUGCUAAUCUUUUCAGAAAGUUCCAGCCCCUUCUGACUAAGCAUUCAAGUAUUUGAGCUGAUGAGAGCCAUGCUUAUUCAAAUCAUUGUAUCCAUGACUUACCUCUACUGACUGGAAGGGGCACUGGCAUUUGAAUAUACUUUGCUUUUAAAUACAUAGAAUAUAGUCAUAAAAGUUUAAUUGAUUUUUAAAUAAAUAUUAAUAAAUAAUAUAGAAAAUAGAAAUCAGAUAACAUUUUUUAAAUAUUAAAUGAAAGACAGAAAAGAAACAUAACAACAUAUAUACAAUCUCAAGACCCAUUAUUACCACAAAUCCUUAUCCCACCAAAAAGUUUUCUAAUAAUUUUAUAGCAAGUGCCAACAGGGGAAGCAUGAUGUCAGAAAACAUCAGAGACUAAUGACAAACCACAAAAUGUUUGUUUUUGUUGAUCUUUGUUACCUCUAAUUUUAUUUUUGUGUUGUUUUCUUUUUGUUUUUAUUUUUGAGAAAGAGAAAGAGGAAUACAAGGAAUUGUCAGUAAGGAGGAGAUAGGAUCUAGGAAGAUUUUGGAGAGGGGAGAAUCAUAAUUAAAAUAUAUUGUAUCCAAAUAUUUUAUAUAAAAAUCAUUGAUCAUUAAAAAAAGAAAAUCGAUGAAGUGUGCUAACUUGAAGGGGCCACAUCAGUAUACAUGACUAUGUAAUGUAGUAAGACCCUCUGAAAUGCUAACAGCCAGACCAGAGUUCAGUCAGUAACUUGUGAAAAAAUACAUGUCCAUCCUAUGAUUCUGAUAGAAAGAGAGCUGGUGAAAAAUGAUGGCAUCGCUGCAGGAAAUGGAGCUGUGCCAGUCCCCUUUCUCAUUGUUGUGACACAUAGGACAGGAAGGCUGAUGGGAUGUUGUGGACCACUGUCUUCAGGGUGUGACAUGGUCAUUACAUUCCUGAAUGAAUAGUAUCUGUGUGUAUCUGUACACAGCCUUUACACUACUGAAUCUGUUACAUUCUGAUGUAGAAUGAAGAGGAAACACGGAGCACACACCUGUCCAUGGAGACCCCAGGUAGUUAAUUUCUUGGGUGUCGGAGACAUUUUUUUUAGUGGCAUAGUAGCUCAUGUCUCUGAUGAGCUCCAUUCAUACUCCUAUAAGGGACCCUCAUGAAACCCUUUGCUUUAUAACCCUGCAUACACAAAACAAAACUAAAAACAAACAAAAAAACAAAAAAGCAAAACAAAAACAAAAAACAUAAAACAAAAAACAGCAACAACAACCCCCCCCCAUGAAAAUAGAAAUUAGAAGACAGACUCCAAAGGGAGGGGGCAACCACUGCUUACAUUCUUAGAAAGGGGAAAAAAAACAAAACCAACUUACAAGUAAUAGUUGCACAUGAGCAGCAUUCCGAUUUGCAAAGGAGGAACGGGAGUACAAUAAGCAAAAAGGAGACUACAGUAAGACUUGAAAGCCAGUGGAGGAAAAUAUGAACUAUUGUAGCUCCAAGGUCAGUCACUGUGGAUGGGCUUGGGUGGGUCUGCUCACAUGUUCUUCCCACCUGAAGCGCACUUGUGCUGACUUUACUUUGAUGCUUAUAACUUUCCUUGUCAGGUAUUCCAUGUUGCAGGUACCUUUGGUAACGUUAGGCCUCUAUUACAGCUCUGCCUUGACCCUCAAACUUCAUGCUGGUUACACUUGUAGGAUUUCUCAGGGAAUAAAAUGCUGCUACACUUUGCCUAGUCUCACAGGUUUUCUCUGGGGUCUUGUUGCAAGUCUUCAUGAAACUGUUAACUAUUGUAUUCUGCAUUUCUGUGAAAGCAGGACCAAGAUUGGGAAGGAGCCAGGAUUCUUUGAAUCAUGGCCAUUGCAUGCCCAGGAGUUGACCCUAGCAAAACAAAACCCUAGGUGGUGGCCUUUUUCAGGUAGGGCACCCCUUUGAAUCUCCUCUAUAAAUGAAAGCCUUUCAAAAAAUGUUCCCCUUUUCAUAUUGUUUACCUUUAGGGGGAAGGGUUUUAUCCUCAAGUCACUGUUGUGAUAAAACACUCUGACCAAAACCAACUUCAGAGAGCAAAGGUUUUAUUACAUCUUACAUUUCCAUGUCACAAUCUGUCAUUGAAGAGGAGAAAGUAAAGGCAGACACUUAAGCAAGACUGUUUGCUGUUCCACAUAGCAUUCCCUCCAACUGGAGAACUCUCUCACAGCCAAGGAAGGAUAGCAGAAACCAUGGAGGAGUUUUACUUGCUGGCACACUUACAGGCUCACACUUGCCCAGCUUUCUUGUAAGCUCUGUAGUACUCACCCAAGGAAACAACACCAUUCACAGUGGACAGGACCCAACCACAGUAGUUAACAGUCAAGAUAAAAUGAAGACAAUCUCUCAGCUGAGAUUCUUACUAGGUUUUUCUUGGCGUCUCAACUUGUUAGUUAAUGUUGACUAGCAUAACGCUUGUUCCAUGGUCCUAGUACAAAGUGUGUGUGAGUGUCUUCAAUGGAGAUCAUCACAACUGAUUUGUCUACAUCUUCUUUUUUCACCAGUGCAAAUAUACUCAUACUCAUAAAAUGCUCACUUUUUGCACCUUUCCUUGCUGGCUUUUCCUUUAACUUUAUAUUCUAAACCUGGAUUCAUAUUCACUAUGACCUGAAUCCUAUUCUACAUUGAAGUUUCUUUCAUCAGACAAUGUAACCUAUGACUUUUUAAAUUCAGUGCCAUUCAAAAUCUCAGGACUUGGAUAGUAUAUUCAGAUUUUUUACUGGAAUAUAAUGUGAAGGACCAUUGGUAAAAUUCCCAAUACAUUCCUAUGUGAAAUCUCAUGAUCACUGUCUUUAAUACAAACUUUCAUGUUGCAUUUAUUUAUUUGUGUGGGGGUCUGUAGGGAAUGUAUGUGCCACAACAUGCUUGUGGGAGUCAGACUACAGCUCAUGGGAGUCAAUUUUCUCCUACUGUGCGGAUCCUGAGAAUCACAGUCUUGGUGGUUUUUUGAAACCUCAAAGCUCAUCUCCAGUGACACACCUCUUCCAAAAUGGCCACACCUCCUAAUCCUUCUGCCUUAGUUGGGUUUCUAUUGCAAUGAUAAAACACCAUGGCCAAAAUCAAUGUGAGGAGGAAAGGGUUUGUUUCACCUUACAGCUUGUAAGUAUAUCACCUAAGAAAACCAUGGGGAAGUGCUACUUAAUGACUUCCUCAUGGCCUGUUUAGCUUGCUUCCUUAUGUACGAAAGGCCACAAUAAUGUGCCCUCCCCCAAAGUGGGCUUGGUCCUCUCAUAUCGAUCAUUGUCUUAGGAUUUAUAUUGCUAUGAUAAAAUGCUAUGAAUCCCAUAAACGUGGGGAGAAAAGGCUUUAUUUCAUCUUGCAUCUUAUAAACCAUCAUCCAGGGGAGUCAGGGGAGAAGCACAAGUUGGGAACAUGGAGAUAGGAACCAAUGUCGAGGCCAUGGAUUAGUGAGUAAGUGCCACUUACUGUCAUGCUUCUUGUGGCUUGCUCAGCCUGCUUUAUUAUGACACCCAGGAUCAACAGCCCAGGAUGGUACCAUACACAGUGAGCUGGGCCCUCCAAAAUCAAUCAUUCAUCAAGAAAAUGCACCACAGACUUGCCCACAGGCCAGUCAGGUGGGAAAAUAUUCUCAGUUGAGGUUCUGUCUUUCAAGUAGACAUAAAAACUAAUCAGCACAAACAUCAAUCAAGAAAAUGCACCAGAGUCUUGCUGACUCUAAUGACAGCAUUUUUCUCAUUUGAGAGCCCCUCUUCCCAAAUGACUCUAACUUGUGUGAAUUUGACCGAAAACUGGCUACCAUACCUUUCCAAAGCGUUCCACUAACUGGGGACCAAAUAAUCAAACUUAUAAUUCUAUGAAGACUGUAUAAUUCAAACCACUACAUUAAUUCCCUGGUCCCAGUAGGCUUGUGGACAUAUCAUAAUGCAAAUUUCAUUUAGUUCAUCUGCAAAAGUCCCCAUAGUCUUUAAAAUCUUAACACUGUUUAAAAUCCAAAAGUUCAUAAUCUCCUUAGAAAUUCAAGACAUUCUCCUAACGAUAGGUUCCUCUGUAAAAUAAAAGAGCAAAUUAAAAAUCAUAGUUAUACAGAAUAUAUAUUACCAUUCCCUAAGGGUAUAAUGAGGAAAUACUUGACCAAAUCAAGAAUGAAAUCCAACAGUGCAAAUUCCAAAUCCUGUAGCUCCCUGUCUAAUUCCAGAAGUCUCAGUUGGAUCUGCCCUUCUGGUUUUGCUACCUGUAACAUGUUUCUCUAUUAAGGGUUAGUUCUAUUCCCUGUCUACAGCUCUCCUUGGAAUAUUUCUCAUGGCCCCAGCAACUCCAACAUUUGGGGGUUUCUAAUGUAAGCGAGGCUUCACUUCUACAACUUCAUGAAAUGGCCUAUUAGGACCUCAGUGUAGGGACACCCCUGGCACAUACCCGGCUUUAAGAACUCUUCUUAACUACAUACACAAAUGCCACAAAUCCUUUACUUUAUAUAAUUCACGACUCUACAGAUAGAACACUAAAAGUUUACCUGAUACUCGAGAGCUAUGGGAGCCAUUAAAUAACCACAGUCUAUGCUCAAGACAAUGGACAGAAACAAUGUAAGGGUGGAAAGGUUUGAUUUGACCCAUGAUUUUAGAGUGCUUCCACUUCUUAAUGGCACAGUGGCAAGAACAUGUAGUAGUAGUUCUUCACUUGACUGUAGAUCAGGAUGCAAAGCAGAUCAGUAUGGAACCUUGGAUAUGUAUAAGGCUUACCCUUAAUGACCAGCUUUCAUGAAGCAGACCCCAUCUCUUAAAGACUCCAUAGACUUCAAAAUUUCUUUCUACACCGGAGAUCAAUAACUAAUAACAAAAGCUUGUGGAGAUCACAGUAGAUUCAAGCCAUAAUAGCAACUGUAAUUAUAAAAAAAUCUAUAAAAAUAAUCAUGCAAUAAGUCUGUAUACCUAAGAUUAAAUAGAAGAAUAUUUUAGGUAACAUUAACCUUAGAAGGUCCAAAACAAUGGAACAAACAUAUGCCACUAAAAUCUUAAAGAGAUUGAUGUGUGUUGCUGUUAUUGAUAAUGUAAAUUAAUUUUCCUGGACUGACCAUUUGGUUUUUAUAUUCCAAUUUAUAUAGAUUAAAUUUCCCAGGAAUAAAAAUUUGUAGAAAGCCUUCAAGCUAAAUUAAUCAGGUUAGAGUUAUCCUGACAUCAAAAUCUAAUAAAAUAAUACAAAAGCGUUUUGGCUACCUAGUUUCAUUUUUUAAUUGAUGCUUGCACUUGAACUAUCUAGCUUAAAAGAUUCUCUUUAAUGCUAAGUUUUCUAGUAUAUUUUUAGUAUCAUUUAGUUAAAAAGAACCUUAUGUCCAUACUAUGUCUAAUUUGAAUUACAUGCUUUGCUUAUAAUAAGUGUCAAGUUUGGGGGAAUGGAGUUGCAGGCAAGUGAAAAGUAAGUUCACGUUGCCACAUAGGAGUCAAUCUGCUCCAUGAAAUGGAAAAAUAAUGUUUUAUAGGAAAAUAAGAUUUACAAAAAAGAGAAAUUUAGCAAGAAUAAUAAAAAUCCAGAGACAGACACUGAGGUUCAAGCUGAAGGUUAGAAAUGCAAAGCAGUCAUACCACCAGACAGCUCUUACUUCUACCAAUGUUCAGACUGAAGAGGUGAUCCACGGAACCUCAGAUUGCAUCUCCAGACUUCACAGAGCUCCUUAGAUUCUCUCUAGUGCUGGGAUUAAAGGUGUGAGCUCUGUUUCUCUUUUAGACUGAUUCAUUCUCAUGUAGCCCAUAGUAGACUUGAACUCACAGAGAUCCACCUGCCUCUGUCUCCUGAGUCCUGGGAUUAAAGGUGUGUGCUACCACGGCCCAGCUUCUAUGGCUGUUGAAAGCUUUGGAUUCUGAUCUCAAGGAAAGCUUUAUUAAAUCAUAAACAAUGUAUCAGUGCAGAAAAAAUGGGCUAAAUCUGUGGACUAUGGCAUAUGAAAAUGAAAUCAUAGCCAAAUGUAAAGUAUUGCUGUGUGGACAUGUAGCUGUGCAGCAACUGUACUCUAUGGAUAAGUGAGUAUAAAACACUGAGGAGGAACAGGAACAUGGGAGAAUUUGUCAGAGUGACUAAUCAGAAAUCUUUAGAGCUCUCGCUUGUUCACAAGGCCUUUCUUUUCUCCUUUUGGUGAGCAGAACUUGAACAGAGCAUUAACCAUAAAAAUUCAGCAUGUGGUAUAAGAGUGUAAAGACCAUGAAGAGUACCUUUGAAUGCUAUCAUUGGAAAAGGGAAAGUGGACACAAAAUCCCACACUUGACCAAGCUGCUAUUUGCAAUCGAUACCUGCUGGUAAAGGAAAAAUUCGUUUUCUCCAAUGGACUGACACUGAGUAUUUCAACCACACUCCAGGGCCGGGCCCCUGCCCUUGAGUAGUUGGCCAAUAAAAAACAGAUUCUAUAUUUUUGUUGUUUAUUUGUUUGUUUGUUUGUUUGGUGGGCUUUUUGUUUGGGUACUCUGUCUAACUUUUUGUUAUUGUUGUUGCUAUUGUUAUUGAUUUUCAGUUUUUGUUUUUGUUUUAUUUUCUUGUUGGGGAAGAGAGAUAGAGGAGAGAGAGAGAAUGAAGUUGAGUAGAUAGGGAGUUUGGGGAG